GCAUGCUGCUGAGCCUUUUGAAGUGCAUUAGGUUAUUCAUACAAUAGGGCUUUUUUCUGCUUAUUCUGUAUGGCCUCUUUGUACAACUGACAAACAUUUCCAAAGCUCUCAUAAAAAUAACUUCAAAUAGCUAGUAAAAAACCCUAAAGAUUCUGAAUUCCAAUGGAGCACAUAACAACAAAUUUCAGUGGGUGGGAAGGAUUAGCUGUCUCUUGACCGGCUCUAUUUCUAGUACGUCUUGCAAAAGAUGGCCUUCCUAAUCCCUGGCAUGGGUGGCUGCUACAGAGCUUGUUAUAUUCAGUUUUUUAAUUGGAGUAAUUGAAAGUGGCUGUAUCAUCUGCACCCGUUAUGCCUUCAGAGGAAAGUCGUGAUGUAAUUCAGGAGUGAGCUGUAUGAGUACCCUUAGCUCAUACCCUGUUAAUUUGGCAGGCAUGUACGGGCUGAUGAAGAAGCCGUCAAUCUUGAUAUGGGAAGAAGAGGAGCCAGACACAUGCAGGUCACCCGGGAGAAAAACCUCUUACACAUGGAAAAGGGUUUUCAAGAGCCCAGCCCUCUGUGUCGCUGUCCUCUUCUGCCCACUGAACUGUGCCCUGACUUCCCUGAAGAAGAGAGCUCUGCAGCUCCUUGUGCCCCUGAAGCCCAAAAACUGAGAGGUGAGGCAGUGUGCUCACAGCUCACUUACAUACACCUGACAGCCCGCCAGCACCUCCCGCAAGGCCAGCUCUUAGUGCUGCUGGGACACAAAGGGCUGGGGGGCCAGGAGCACAGCGCAGAGCAGCUCCUGCACCUCCAGCACUGACACCUGGAGGAUGCUUCCUUUUCUUUCCUUUCCACGCUCAUCUGGCCCUGAGGAGUCCAGCCUGGGGCACAGCCGCAUGCAGCCAGCCACCUGGGGAGCUGAACCAAGCCAAAUUAUCAGAGGCAAAGUGUUAGGUGCCCUCUGGCAUCUUGCUGGGAUUUAAGAUGUAUGGUAGUUGCUUUUGAAGUGCAAAGCCAGCUGGUGCAUUGCUGGAUCAUUCUGCCCCCAUUCCUGUCUUCUCUCUGCUGCUCUGAUGGCUCGAGCCACAGGUACUCCGGCACACACGUAGGAGAACAACUGGAAUAGUGCACUCUUACACAUCCCUGCUUUAGACAAAGCACCCAGAGCCAGCUGUGAUUCACCCUAGUUAUUAAUCCAGGCUUUAGGACAGAGGAAGGGGGAAAAAAAAAGCAAGCUAUUGCGUGAGAAGGAUCCCCAGGUUGGUUGGUCUGAUCUUUUCCUGCAAAAGGGGGAAGAGCCCCUGGAUCUCCAUCUGAACCUCUCCCAUCAAGUGCCUAGUUCUCUGUAGCACCUUUCCUUUGAUCUCUCUGAGUCUGGAUCAAGCUACGUAGCUUGCUGUAGAUGCUGUGUUGAACGUUACACGGAACUGAAGUCCAUUCCCCGCGCUGCAAGAUGCUCGGCAGAGGCAGCUGUAGGGACAGCGAUACAGUGCAGGUGUGGUGAGGGAGGGCAGGCAGUGGCCUAGCCUGAGUGAAGCCAGAUGAAAUGACUGAAUGGCACCGAACAGCUACAGCUCUCCCAGCAUCUUUCAGCAGGGAAGGAGACCCAGGGGACAGCACGGGUUGAUUUUGUAACAGCACCCUGAGAAGACGCCACAGGAAGGAGCACGGCUGGGAUCACAGGCGGCAAACUCCUGGCAGGGGAGAAUAUAAGGAGGGACUUCAAUCCCAGGACAAUGAAAAACUCUGCAGAUGCAGACAGAAAGCAACUCCUGAACUGUGAGACAGCUCUCUAGCUCACCUGCAAGCCUAAUCUGUAAGGAAGAGGACACUGAAGUUCUGGGGUGUACAGUACAACGCUGUACUGGACACACUGGGAUACAUGCAGAGAAAGAAAAAACAUACGAAGUGAAAGGGAAUAAAGGAAAAACUCUGCUGAGAAGAAAAAUGCUAGGGCUUGGUUUUCAUUAUCUGAAGCCCCAACUCAGAACUGUCCACCUGAUGGUAAGAGGUGCCACCCACCCAGGAGCUGUGUCUAGGGAGAAAAAAGAAAACUUUUACAACUGCUGCCAUAAGACACUAUAUGAGCUUGGUAUCCAGCCAGACUGAAAACAAAUAUUCUCAUUCCAUAACAUCCAAGCACUGGGAGAGAACAUGCCAAAGCAGAGAAUUCCUGAAUGAAAACCUUGCGGUUUUAGUGUUUAUGCAUUUGGCAAGUGGCCCAUUAUAUGAAUAAUGCCAAUGCCAUAUAUUCUGCAGAAUAUGCCAGGAAAGGUUUCCUUUGGCCAGAACCCAGCGUUGAGCCACAGCUCUCAGGUCCCUCACUGCGUCAUCCCAUCCUGCACACACAACCCUGUGCAAUCGCAGCUGAUAGCCAUCAUUUUCUCCCCCAGUCUACUGAGGGGUACUUGUGUGGGCUGCUCCAUGGUACUGCUUUCCUCCCAAAGUGACCUUCACUCAAAGGCCAACACCUACCUGUGUGCACAGCAGCAUUCACAGUCUGCCCUUGGAGGUGCUACAUGAACAAAGCUCCCAAAGAUUUCACUGGAGGUUUUGCUUGCCCAAGGACCUGAGGAUGGCCUACCCAGUCCAUUAGGAUACCGAGAACUACUGCAUGCAAUCAUAAAACUGACUGAGGAAAUACCACCAUGAGAUAAAUUACAUCAUAGCUGCAUUCAGAAGUGUGUUUAACACAAAUUAGCUGUAUUGAACUAACACUGAAGUUACAGACUAAGAUUCCUGAAGCUGACUAAGGGAUCUGAACACCUCAAUGCUUUUAAUUUGAGUGGGAACCAGGGAUUUGAAUUCCUUAAACAGACCUGAGUAUUUCAUCAUCAAUGUAUAACAAAAAAGUAACUUGAUCUUAAAGCCUAAAAACCUAAAGCCUAACCAAAACAUUUUAGCAACACCUUUUGGGAAAACCUCCCCCCAUCCCAUCCCUAAAUUACUGCUGUUAAAAGUAAAGGUUUUCAGAAACCCCUGCAAGUGUUCCAAGUUUUCAAGUCCUCCAAGAACAUUUUCAGAAAAACAAACAAACAAACAAAAAAAAAACCUGCAGCAAACAUUCCUCAAUAGAUCACUUUCACCAUUUCAAAAUAAAUAAAUAAAAAAAAAGUAAUUAAAA
Non-coding RNA from Anas platyrhynchos (mallard), 3103 nucleotides. The record is from RefSeq and is a predicted model, not a curated record. Lineage: Eukaryota; Metazoa; Chordata; Aves; Anseriformes; Anatidae.